AACCUCCGCAAUGUGAGAAAUCGCGACGGGGGGAUCCCAAGUGCCAUUCUUAACGGGAUGGCUUUUCAUUAGUGUAAAGAGCUUUUGGAAUAAGAGCUGGGCAAGACCGGUGCCAGCCGCCGCGGUAACACCGGCAGCUCUAGUGGUAGCAAUUUUUAUUGGGCCUAAAGCGUCCGUAGCCGGUUUAAUAAGUCUCUGGUGAAAUCCUGUAGCUUAACUGUGGGAAUUGCUGGAGAUACUAUUAGACUUGAGACCGGGAGAGGUUAGAGGUACUCCCAGGGUAGAGGUGAAAUUCUGUAAUCCUGGGAGGACCGCCUGUUGCGAAGGCGUCUAACUGGAACGGUUCUGACGGUGAGGGACGAAAGUUAGGGGCGCGAACCGGAUUAGAUACCCGGGUAGUCCUAACUGUAAACGAUGCGGACUUGGUGUUGGGUGGCUUUGAGCUGUCUCAGUGCCGAGGGAAGCUGUUAAGUCCGCCGCCUGGGGAGUACGGUCGCAAGACUGAAACUUAAAGGAAUU
Molecule: ribosomal RNA, 519 nt
Filed under: uncultured bacterium
Lineage: Bacteria
Description: bacterial SSU rRNA
Rfam family: Archaeal small subunit ribosomal RNA
Source: RNAcentral